RNAcentral lists this ribosomal RNA (482 nucleotides) under uncultured bacterium. Its description in RNAcentral is "bacterial SSU rRNA". It matches the Rfam family "Bacterial small subunit ribosomal RNA", at positions 30 to 507 of the family's 1533-position model. The record is from RNAcentral.
AUUGAACGCUGCGGCAUGCUUACACAUGCAAGUCGAACGGCAGCACGGGAGCAAUCCUGGUGGCGAGUGGCGAACGGGUGAGUAAUAUAUCGGAACGUGCCCAGUCGUGGGGGAUAACGUAGCGAAAGCUACGCUAAUACCGCAUACGAUCUAUGGAUGAAANCGGGGGAUCGCAAGACCUCGCGCGAUUGGAGCGGCCGAUAUCAGAUUAGGUAGUUGGUGAGGUAAAGGCUCACCAAGCCGACGAUCUGUAGCUGGUCUGAGAGGACGACCAGCCACACUGGGACUGAGACACGGCCCAGACUCCUACGGGAGGCAGCAGUGGGGAAUUUUGGACAAUGGGCGCAAGCCUGAUCCAGCAAUGCCGCGUGCAGGAUGAAGGCCUUCGGGUUGUAAACUGCUUUUGUACGGAACGAAACGGUGAGCUCUAAUACAGUUUGCUAAUGACGGUACCGUAAGAAUAAGCACCGGCUAACUACGUG